GCCCUUAGAGUUUGAUCCUGGCUCAGGAUGAACGCUAGCUACAGGCUUAACACAUGCAAGUCGAGGGGCAGCAUGGUCUUAGCUUGCUAAGGCCGAUGGCGACCGGCGCACGGGUGAGUAACGCGUAUCCAACCUGCCUUACACUCUUGGACAGCCUUCUGAAAGGGAGAUUAAUACAAGAUGUUAUCAUGAGUAAGCAUUUUCGCAUGAUUAAAGGUUUACCGGUGUAAGAUGGGGAUGCGUUCCAUUAGAUAGUAGGCGGGGUAACGGCCCACCUAGUCUUCGAUGGAUAGGGGUUCUGAGAGGAAGGUCCCCCACAUUGGAACUGAGACACGGUCCAAACUCCUACGGGAGGCAGCAGUGAGGAAUAUUGGUCAAUGGACGAGAGUCUGAACCAGCCAAGUAGCGUGAAGGAUGAAGGUUCUAUGGAUUGUAAACUUCUUUUAUACGGGAAUAAACGAAUCCACGUGUGGAUUUAGCAUGUACCGUAUGAAUAGGA
Molecule: ribosomal RNA, 499 nt
Filed under: uncultured bacterium
Lineage: Bacteria
Description: bacterial SSU rRNA
Rfam family: Bacterial small subunit ribosomal RNA
Source: RNAcentral